This 199-nucleotide small nucleolar RNA is filed under the name Sorex araneus (European shrew). Its description in RNAcentral is "Small nucleolar RNA U3 (ENSSARG00000018232.1)". It matches the Rfam family "Small nucleolar RNA U3", at positions 27 to 219 of the family's 219-position model. From Rfam's summary of the family: Small nucleolar RNAs (snoRNAs) are involved in the processing and modification of rRNA in the nucleolus. There are two main classes of snoRNAs: the box C/D class, and the box H/ACA class. U3 snoRNA is a member of the box C/D class. Lineage: Eukaryota; Metazoa; Chordata; Mammalia; Eulipotyphla; Soricidae. The record is from RNAcentral.
UAUAGUUUGUUACUAGAGUAGCUUUUCUGAACACAUCGAACACCCACAACCCUGAGGAGGAGACAGAGGACCCUCUCCAGAACAUGAGGCCGGUUCUAGGUGUUGCUUCCACAGCUGCCUUUUACUAUUCAUGAUUGUUCUACUCUUCCUAUGGAAGAGGGAAGGGAGACAGAGGAUGCCGAGGAUGUAGUCUGAGUGG